UCUCGCCUGUUUAUCAAAAACAUCGCCUCUUGAGAAAAAGGAACAAGAGGUCGGGCCUGCCCGGUGAGUAACCAUUUAAACGGCCGCAGUGAAUAGCUGUGCUAAGGUAGCGUAAUAAAUUGUCUCUUAAUUGGAGAAGGGUAUGAAUGGUUUGACGUAAGGGUUUCUGUCUCAACAAUAGUAAUGUGAAGUUUUCUUUUAAGUCAAAAGGCUUAAAUUAUAUUAAAAGACGAGAAGACCCUGUCGAGCUUGAUAAAAUUGUAAAGUGUUUUUACAUAAUAAGUUUAACUGGGGCAGUUAAAAACCAAAAAAUAGUUUUUUAUUUUAUGAAGAUCCGGUUGUACCGAUCAUAAGAAAAAGCUACCGCAGGGAUAACAGCGUUAUCCUCCCUGAGAGAACUUAUUGAAGGGGGGGUUUGCGACCUCGAUGUUGGAUUAAAGUUUCUUUUUGGUGUAGCAGCUAAAAAAGUAGGACUGUUCGUCCUUUAAAACUUUACGUGAUCUGAGUUCAGACCGGA
This 517-nucleotide ribosomal RNA is filed under the name Siliqua alta. RNAcentral's name for it is "partial 16S ribosomal RNA". It matches the Rfam family "Bacterial large subunit ribosomal RNA", at positions 1794 to 2620 of the family's 2925-position model. Lineage: Eukaryota; Metazoa; Mollusca; Bivalvia; Adapedonta; Pharidae. The record is from RNAcentral.